GUGUAAUAAUAUAGUCAACACGAUGCAAUAAUACUUCUCUCCUUUAUUUCUCACAAAGAUUAAUGCAGUGGACAACCAGAAGUCCACUGACUAGAAACACACCGAUGCCUAAAUUUAUAUCUGUUGCAACUCAGACAUCGCCAAAAGUUUUAAAAAAAAACAUUCUUUACAGUGCAAGAAUAAAAGGUACAACAGAAAACAGAAAUAUUGCCUGAAAUAGGGCUUUUAUGGGGUUACUAUGGUAUUGCGUUCCUCAUCAGAAACUCCAGUGCGCACUCUGCAAAAAGAAAUGAACCUGCAAAAAUAUACACUAAAAUCAGAAUUCGAGUCUGAAGUAUUUGAAAUACACAUCAGUCAUCCUAAAUCCACAUAAUUUACAUUCUUUUUACUAUGUGUUAAAAGGCAUUGAAAACUUUUCAGAAAGACUCAUAACCAUAUUGAAUUACUUCAGAGAAUGAAUUCAGAUAUAGAUAUGAAGCUUUCCAUUCUAAGUUCAAAGACAUCUCAUGGAACUGCAGUACUCUACAUAAAUGAAAGCCCCUUUCCUACUUUCAUGGAGGAAAGAGAAACAACUAAAAAAUGGGUUAAGAAUUUACUUUCAUGGAGGCAUGGAUUACGUUAAUAUAAACAUAAGCUAUUUGUAUAAAAAAUAGACAGAGA
RNAcentral lists this long non-coding RNA (660 nucleotides) under Solanum tuberosum (potato). RNAcentral's name for it is "long non-coding RNA (STUB_LNC001415)". The record is from RNAcentral. Lineage: Eukaryota; Viridiplantae; Streptophyta; Magnoliopsida; Solanales; Solanaceae.